RNAcentral lists this long non-coding RNA (579 nucleotides) under Monodelphis domestica (gray short-tailed opossum). RNAcentral's name for it is "lncRNA (ENSMODG00000036471.1)". Lineage: Eukaryota; Metazoa; Chordata; Mammalia; Didelphimorphia; Didelphidae. The record is from RNAcentral.
GAGAAGUAAUUGUCAAAUGAGACACUGGCGAAUAUUGAUGCCAAGAGCCUAGAACCCUGGCAUCCUGGUCCCCAGCUGCAUCCCCCCCAGCCCCCAGCAGGGGUGGCCACAGACCCGAAGGACACCUGAAAGAUGGGACACAAACUGAGGGAUGCCAAAGGUUGGCAUGGCACAGAGCCCAGGGGGCCACACUGUCUCCACAGACCUCGGGAUCUACUUCCUGAAUGAGGGAGCAUCUUGGUACAUCAGAGAUCUGACUUCAAUCAGGAAAACCUCCAUUCAAAUCCUGCCUCUAAACAUAUUGACUGUACAAUCCUGGGAAUACCUGUAAAUGACCUGUUUAUUCUCCGCAGUAUGUGAUCCAAGACAAUCUUGGGGGUUUAUGCUGAAAAAUGCCAUCUGCCUGAAGAGAAAGAACUGAUGGGGACUGCAUGUAAACGGAGGCAUUCUACAUCUCAGAAGGUGGGGGACGCUUACUGGAGGUGAGGAGGUAAACUGAAAAGGGCAGUUUCUGUUACAGAGUAAAUGAAAGCUUUGGGAAUAGGAAAUAAAACGUGAUUCUCAGAUUGAAGCUGAUCA